GGCCUGGUGGUCUAGUAGUAUGAUUCCUUCUUAGGGUAUGCCGGGGCGUUGAACCCUGGCUGGGCCAUGGAGGAGGUCCCGGGUUCAAUUCCCGGCCAGGCCC
Molecule: non-coding RNA, 103 nt
Organism: Jaapia argillacea MUCL 33604
Lineage: Eukaryota; Fungi; Basidiomycota; Agaricomycetes; Jaapiales; Jaapiaceae
Source: the annotation of a GenBank genome assembly